RNAcentral lists this ribosomal RNA (777 nucleotides) under uncultured bacterium. Its description in RNAcentral is "bacterial SSU rRNA". It matches the Rfam family "Bacterial small subunit ribosomal RNA", at positions 8 to 796 of the family's 1533-position model. The record is from RNAcentral.
AGAGUUUGAUCAUGGCUCAGGAUGAACGCUGGCGGCGUGCUUAACACAUGCAAGUCGAACGGUGAAGCAGGAGCUUGCUCCUGUGGAUCAGUGGCGAACGGGUGAGUAACACGUGAGAAAUGUGCCCUGGACUCUGGGAUAAGCGUUGGAAACGACGUCUAAUACCGGAUACGAGACGUGAAGGCAUCUUCAACGUCUGGAAAGAACUUCGGUCCAGGAUCAUCUCGCGGCCUAUCAGCUAGUUGGUGAGGUAACGGCCCACCAAGGCGACGACGGGUAGCCGGCCUGAGAGGGUGACCGGCCACACUGGGACUGAGACACGGCCCAGACUCCUACGGGAGGCAGCAGUGGGGAAUAUUGCACAAUGGGCGCAAGCCUGAUGCAGCAACGCCGCGUGAGGGACGACGGCCUUCGGGUUGUAAACCUCUUUUAGUAGGGAAGAAGCGAAAGUGACGGUACCUGCAGAAAAAGCACCGGCUAACUACGUGCCAGCAGCCGCGGUAAUACGUAGGGUGCAAGCGUUAUCCGGAAUUAUUGGGCGUAAAGAGCUCGUAGGCGGUUUGUCGCGUCUGCUGUGAAAACCGGAGGCUCAACCUCCGGCCUGCAGUGGGUACGGGCAAACUAGAGUGCGGUAGGGGAGAUUGGAAUUCCUGGUGUAGCGGUGGAAUGCGCAGAUAUCAGGAGGAACACCGAUGGCGAAGGCAGAUCUCUGGGCCGUAACUGACGCUGAGGAGCGAAAGCGUGGGGAGCGAACAGGAUUAGAUACCCUAGUAGUCC